This is a long non-coding RNA of Orbicella faveolata, 984 nucleotides long. The record is from RefSeq and is a predicted model, not a curated record. Lineage: Eukaryota; Metazoa; Cnidaria; Anthozoa; Scleractinia; Merulinidae.
UAGGGAAACCCCAGUAUCGAUAAUACGGAACAUUUUCUAUCCAUAUUGGCCCGCAGCAAUCAACUUGAACAUGAUUUUAUUGCUGCCAUAUUCUAAUUAGCCCGUCGGGAAGUUAGAAGCUUGCUAUGACGAACAAUUUCGUAGUUCUCGAUUACUUCAAAACAUGUUCUUAAAAUUUCACAACAAUAUUUUGCUUGGGAUAACUGAUUCGUAACUGACAUGUAUCAUCUCUUAAUUUCUCUUAUUGUAAAUUUGCACAAUCAUGUUAAGCGACUUUUGUUCAUGCUUAGUCAAUCGCCACCGCAAUUUGCCGGUACGUCACUUUGGUUGAAAUGAAAUUAAUCUUCCUUUACCACGGCUCAGUAAAAUCCCUGUAAUUAGGAGCUAUUUUAAGUAAAUGACUGCCUCGUCCGCAGUUAAAUUUGCUUUGUUUCUCCGAAGCCAUCAGUUUUGAUCACAUCUUCGGUGUCGUCAGGAGAAAAACUAGAUCAUAACUUCGCCUUGAAGACUCAGUGUCCCUCAGUGAUCUGAUUUACGAUGGGGAAUUGCUUUUCCUGCUGCAAAGAUUGCGAGGGUGGCGGAGGCGGUGGAGGCGGAAGUUGGGGAGGAGGUGUCAGUUUUCGCGGGGGAGGGGGUGGAGGAGGCGAUGGAGGCGGCGGAGGGGGCGGUGGAGGGGACGGUGGAGGCUGUUGAGGAGGCUGUGCCGGAGACUGAAGACCUUUAUGAACAUCCUAUUGGAUCUGAAGCGAUUUAAACUAACUAUGAGCAGUACUAGUUAAAAGAGAAAGGCAUAAAUAGUAACUGUCUUAGUAUUGCAGUGAUAAAAGUAGAAGUACAGUGUGACGAUGUAGAAGGUUAUCUCAGUGGUCCUUUCUUGUAUGCAGAAUUAUUUGACUCGAUGUUCAAGGAAACUUGCAAACUCCAGUGAGACAUGAUCUGUCAUUUUUUUUUUCUUCAAUCAAUAAAAGCACUUAUUUUAGCAUU